AUGGCCGCCGACGAGGCCAAGGCGAAGGGCAACGCGGCGUUCUCGGCCGGCCGCUUCGAUGAGGCGGCGGGCCACUUCGGCGACGCCAUCGCGCUCGCCCCCGACAACCACGUCCUCUUCUCCAACCGCUCGGCGGCCUACGCCUCGCUCCACCGCUACAAGGAGGCGCUCGCCGACGCCGAGCGGACCGUCGCGCUCAAGCCCGACUGGGCCAAGGGCUACUCCCGCCUCGGCGCCGCGCGCCUCGGGUCGGGGGACGCCGCGGGCGCCGUCGAGGCCUACGAGAAGGGGCUCGCCCUCGACCCCUCCAACGCGGCCCUCAAGGACGGGCUCGCCCAGGCCCGGUCGGCCCUCCCGCGCCGCCCGGCCUCCGGCGCCGACGCCAUUGGCAAGAUUUUCCAGGGCCCGGACCUCUGGAGCAAGAUCGCCGCCGACCCCACCACGCGCGCCUACCUCGACCAGCCCGACUUCAUGCAGAUGCUGCGCGAUCUGCAGCGGAACCCCGGCAACCUCAACAACUACCUCUCGGACCCCCGCAUGAUGCAGGUGCUCAGCCUCAUGCUGAAUGUGAAGGUCCAGAACCAGAGCAAUGGCCCCUCCGAGCCGGCGCCGGCGCCGACGCCGGCCAAGUCGUCCCCGCCGCCGCCACAGAAGCAGCCCGAGACCAAACCGAGGGAGCCAGAGCCCGAACCAGUGGAGAUGACCGAUGAGGAGAAGGAGCGGAAGGAGAGGAAGGCGGCGGCCCAGAAGGAGAAGGAGGCGGGGAACGCCGCUUACAAAAAGAAGGAUUUCGAGACGGCGAUCCAGCACUACACAAAAGCCAUGGAGCUUGACGACGAGGACAUCUCCUACCUCACAAACCGCGCCGCUGUUUACCUUGAGAUGGGACAGUAUGAUGAUUGCAUUAAGGAUUGUGACACGGCUGUUGAGAGGGGAAGGGAACUUCGUGCUGACUUCAAGAUGGUCUCGAGGGCACUCACAAGGAAAGGAACUGCUCUUGCUAAACUUGCCAAGACUUCCAAAGACUACGAUGUUGCCAUUGAGACUUUCCAGAAGGCUCUAACUGAGCAUCGAAACCCAGAUACCCUGAAAAGACUAAAUGAUGCUGAACGAGCAAAGAAGGAGCUCGAGCAACAAGAGUACUAUGAUCCAAAACUAGCUGACGAGGAGCGAGAGAAAGGUAAUGAGUUCUUUAAGCAGCAAAAAUACCCAGAAGCAGUGAAGCAUUACACUGAAGCGCUCAGGAGAAACCCGAAGGAUCCGAAGGUUUACAGCAACAGGGCUGCCUGUUACACCAAGCUGGGUGCCAUGCCUGAAGGUCUCAAGGAUGCCGAGAAGUGCAUCGAGCUAGAUCCUACAUUCUCCAAGGGAUACACCAGGAAGGGCGCGAUCCAGUUUUUCAUGAAAGAAUACGACAAAGCGAUGGAAACUUAUCAGGAAGGCCUAAAGCAUGAUCCGAGUAACCAGGAGCUGCUUGAUGGUGUAAAGAGAUGUAUUCAGCAGAUCAACAAGGCCAACAGAGGCGAUCUUACCCCGGAGGAACUGAAAGAGAGGCAGGGCAAGGCUAUGCAGGACCCUGAGAUCCAGAGCAUCCUGACGGACCCUGUCAUGCGGCAGGUGUUGAUUGAUUUCCAGGAGAAUCCAAGGGCUGCUCAGGACCAUCUCAAGAACCCUGGUGUGAAGCAGAAGAUCCAGAAGCUCGUGAGCGCAGGGAUUGUUCAGAUGAAGUAG
This 1731-nucleotide ribosomal RNA is filed under the name Triticum aestivum (bread wheat). Its description in RNAcentral is "partial small subunit ribosomal RNA". The record is from RNAcentral. Lineage: Eukaryota; Viridiplantae; Streptophyta; Magnoliopsida; Poales; Poaceae.